This 253-nucleotide ribosomal RNA is filed under the name uncultured bacterium. Its description in RNAcentral is "partial 16S ribosomal RNA". It matches the Rfam family "Bacterial small subunit ribosomal RNA", at positions 524 to 776 of the family's 1533-position model. The record is from RNAcentral.
UACGUAGGCAGCAAGCGUUGUUCGGAGUUACUGGGCGUAAAGGGUGCGUAGGCGGCGCGGUAAGUCGGGUGUGAAAGCCCUGGGCUCAACCUGGGAAUUGCAUUGGAUACUGGCAGGCUAGAGUGCGGUAGAGGAUGGCGGAAUUCCCGGUGUAGCAGUGAAAUGCGUAGAGAUCGGGAGGAACAUCUGUGGCGAAGGCGGCCAUCUGGACCAGCACUGACACUGAGGCACGAAAGCGUGGGGAGCAAACAGG